AUUAACUGUGUGGGCAGGCGAAGCUGAAAUACAUACAUACCCCCACUCGUCACAUGCCUUUUGCUUUUGGAUGAUGUAUCUACCAGCCUGUAAGAGAGGCCAUCUUUCAUAAGACUCUCUUGGGCUGGUUCCUUCAUUCCAGUAUCUCUGGGCUUCCAAAUACUUGGAAAUACAUUCCAGUAUUUCUUGAGCUGGAACCCUGGCACACACUGCCC
Long non-coding RNA from Neomonachus schauinslandi (Hawaiian monk seal), 215 nucleotides. RefSeq lists it as uncharacterized. Lineage: Eukaryota; Metazoa; Chordata; Mammalia; Carnivora; Phocidae. The transcript is spliced from 3 exons. The record is from RefSeq and is a predicted model, not a curated record.